RNAcentral lists this unclassified non-coding RNA (931 nucleotides) under Hevea brasiliensis (rubber tree). Lineage: Eukaryota; Viridiplantae; Streptophyta; Magnoliopsida; Malpighiales; Euphorbiaceae. The record is from RNAcentral.
GAUUGACCUUCAAAACACCCUGCAUAACACAGAUUAUUAACAUAAGCAAUCAAGCAUAACAAUAUACAUAUUUUCUCCCUUAACUGUAAAUCCUAACUUCACCUUUACAGACUAUGGUUCAACAGGUUAAUAGCAGAGAAUUCAGGAAAUAUCUGAAAAGUAUAAGACAUGGGGGUCAAACCCAAAACCUCGCACUGAGAGAGAGUUAACUAAACCAUCAACCAAGCCACACCAUUGAUUAGAAUAUCUUGGCUCUGCAUUUUUCAUAUUUAUAGAAAAAGUCUCACAAAAGCAACUAAUUUCAAUAUCUAAAAUAUGAUUAAUAUUAUGUUGAUUACGACCCCAGUUAAUCCUAAUUAAACCUCCAAGCCUGACCCUCAUUCCUCUACUUUCUUCAAUUCAAUAAUCAAGACAGUUUUGGAAACAGUGUUUAUUAGUCUAAGUCCUAAUCCAUGUGUAUAGAAAUUUAUUGUCAAGUGUAAAAUUCCAAAAAAAAGAAUGAAAUAAUUCAGUUCCAUUCAUGUCCAUUUACGUGGAAUCAGUCCAGAAUUUCUUACAAUUGAUCUUUUUAAGAUCUGGCCAAAAUGGUCAACUCUUCCCACAUUUAUUCCCAUCCUAAAAUCCUAUCCAUUUAUCUUAAAUUCCUAUGCUACAGCAAUGCAGCAUCUGCAACAAAAACAGCAGACUUCAUAAAGUAAAUAAAAGGUUCCCAAGGCCCACCAAAAUCCAUUACCAUUAGCAAAUAUCUAUAAAAAAUCAUUGCACUUCUAUAAGUCAUCUAAGACUCUUCCUUAUUUGAUCAGGGCACAAACCAGAAGGAAAAGCGAUUUGAGAUGACUUAAAAGGCUAGAGAAAACAUUUCCAUGCACAGUUGUGCAAAACAUGCACAACCAUGCACUUCUGCUGCAAAUGAAUACACUAAUGAAAGCAU